CCUACGGGAGGCAGCAGUGAGGAAUAUUGGUCAAUGGACGGAAGUCUGACCCAGCCAUGCCGCGUGCAGGAAGACGGCUCUAUGAGUUGUAAACUGCUUUUGUACAAGGGUAAACCUGAAUACGUGUAUUCAGCUGAAAGUAAUGUACGAAUAAGGAUCGGCUAACUACGUGCCAGCAGCCGCGGCAAUACGGAGGAUCCAAGCGGUAUCCGGAUUUAUUGGGUUGAAAGGGUGCGUAGGCGGAUGGAGAAGUUAGAGUUGAAAUGUCCGAGCUUAACUCGGGAACUGCCUCUAAUACUGUUGUUCUAGAGAGUAGAUGCGGUAGGCGGAAUGUAUGGUGUAGCGGUGAAAUGCUUAGAGAUCAUACAGAACACCGAUUGCGAAGGCAGCUUACCAAUCUAUAUCUGACGUUGAGGCACGAAAGCGUGGGGAGCAAACAGGAUUAGAUACCCUGGUAGUC
This 460-nucleotide ribosomal RNA is filed under the name uncultured bacterium. RNAcentral's name for it is "partial 16S ribosomal RNA". It matches the Rfam family "Bacterial small subunit ribosomal RNA", at positions 338 to 795 of the family's 1533-position model. The record is from RNAcentral.